Molecule: ribosomal RNA, 253 nt
Filed under: uncultured bacterium
Lineage: Bacteria
Description: partial 16S ribosomal RNA
Rfam family: Bacterial small subunit ribosomal RNA
Source: RNAcentral
UACAGAGGGUGCAAGCGUUAAUCGGAAUGACUGGGCGUAAAGCGUGUGUAGGUGGUUGGAUAAGUUAGAUGUGAACUCCCCGGGCUUAACCUGGGAACUGCGUUUAAGACUGUUUAACUAGAGUACUGUAGAGGAUAGUGGAAUUUCCAGUGUAGCGGUGAAAUGCGUAGAUAUUGGAAGGAACCCCAGUGGCGAAGGCGACUAUCUGGAUAGAUACUGACACUGAGCCGCGAAAGCGUGGGGAGCAAACAGG